GUGUCAGCAGCCGCGGUAAUACGUAGGUGGCAAGCGUUAUCCGAAAUUAUUGGGCGUAAAGCGCGCGCAGGUGGUUUCUUAAGUCUGAUGUGAAAGCCCACGGCUCAACCGUGGAGGGUCAUUGGAAGCUGGGAGACUUGAGUGCAGAAGAGGAAAGUGGAAUUCCAUGUGUAGCGGUGACAUGCGUGGAGAUAUGGAGACACACCAGUGGCGAAGGCGACUUUCUGGU
Molecule: ribosomal RNA, 229 nt
Filed under: uncultured bacterium
Lineage: Bacteria
Description: partial 16S rRNA
Rfam family: Bacterial small subunit ribosomal RNA
Source: RNAcentral